AAGGCAGCAGGUGGGGAAUAUUGCACAAUGGGCGAAAGCCUGAUGCAGCUAUGCCGCGUGUAUGAAGAAGGCCUUAGGGUUGUAAAGUACUUUCAUCGGGGAGGAAAAAACAAAACUAAUAAUUUUAUUUCUUGACGUUACCCGAAAAAGAAGCACCGGCUAACUCCGUGCCAGCAGCCGCGGUAAUACGGAGGGUGCUAGCGUUAAUCAGAAUUACUGGGCGUAAAGAGCACGUAGGUGGUUUUUUUAAGUCAGAUGUGAAAUCCCUGGGCUUAACCUGGAACUGCAUUUUGAAACUGAAAUACUAGAGUAUCGUAGAGGGAGGUAGAAUUCUAGGUGUAGCGGUGAAAUGCGUAGAUAUCUGGAGGAAUACCUGUGGCGAAAGCGGGCCUCCUAAACGAAUACUGACACUGAGGUGCGAAAGCGUGGGGAGCAAACAGGGAUUAGAUACC
This 452-nucleotide ribosomal RNA is filed under the name uncultured bacterium. RNAcentral's name for it is "bacterial SSU rRNA". It matches the Rfam family "Bacterial small subunit ribosomal RNA", at positions 345 to 786 of the family's 1533-position model. The record is from RNAcentral.